GCCGGAGUGGUGAAACUGGUAGACGCAGGGGACUCAAAAUCCCCCGAUCCUUGCGGUCAUGUGGGUUCGAUUCCCACCUCCGGCACCA
Molecule: transfer RNA, 88 nt
Filed under: Syntrophus buswellii
Lineage: Bacteria; Pseudomonadati; Thermodesulfobacteriota; Syntrophia; Syntrophales; Syntrophaceae
Also listed under: 3 other names
Description: tRNA-Leu
Rfam family: tRNA
About the family: Transfer RNA (tRNA) molecules are approximately 80 nucleotides in length. Their secondary structure includes four short double-helical elements and three loops (D, anti-codon, and T loops).
Source: RNAcentral